Molecule: transfer RNA, 71 nt
Filed under: Mus musculus (house mouse)
Lineage: Eukaryota; Metazoa; Chordata; Mammalia; Rodentia; Muridae
Description: tRNA-Ser
Source: RNAcentral
GGAGAGGUGGCUCAGUGGUUAAGAGCACCAACUGCUCUUCUAGAAGUCCUGAGUUCAAUUCCCAGCAUCCA